This is a non-coding RNA of Equus caballus (horse), 4813 nucleotides long. NCBI's taxonomy places the organism in Eukaryota, Metazoa, Chordata, Mammalia, Perissodactyla, Equidae. The record is from RefSeq and is a predicted model, not a curated record.
UGCUAUUUUCUUCUUGUCUUCCACUCUUUGCUCUCUCCUUCACCUCUCCUAUAACUCUGUAAAAUAUCUGUGAAUUGGCUAAACUGAAGGCCUCUACCGUGGUCUGAUUCUGGAGGUGCAAACUGUGAACUCCUUUGAAGAUACCAGCGGCACAUUACAGAGCCCAGAGCAGAAGUAGAGACAGAGAAUUCCAGAAAACCUUUCAAUGAAGCCAAACAUGUGGGUGCCUUAAUAAACUGCGAAAUACAAAUUUGCUGAUCAGCAGGUGUGAUUUUUGUGAAGCAGCCCAAUUCACUGUCGGCCUACCCAUCAGAACAAAUUGCACUUUGGAAAUAUCCGAGCGCUUCAACUUUCCAUUAAAUAUAAUAAGAAAUCACAAUGUGCUGUUCUGGCCUGAUGAGUCCUCGCCAAGGAUCUACAAGCACUUUUUACAAUUGCUACCAGGCAAUUGCUGCUGUCACCCUCGGUGUCACAGAGGCAGGAAAACAGGCCCAUGACCACCAGGCACUGUAUUAAUUUGUGCUCGUGUGGGAGCCUCUUGGGUGGCGUUCUUACUCUGCUUCACGUGUGUAUGAUCUGAUUCUGCAGAACAAUUUCAGAGUCUUCAUAGAAGGGGCCACCUUUUCUGCUUCUUUGGUAUCUACCCCCGUGCCUCAGUUAACCCCACUGGGGCCCAGCCAAUGGCUGCUGUCGACUGAUGAAUUCACAGAGCUGAGCCCCAUGAGGACAGAGGUGUCAGUGGUUCAUGGAAGCUGGCCUUCUACCUUCCAGCCUCUGUGACUUAUCACGUGCUCAUCUCUCUUCCUCCCCCGACUCUCCUGCUUCUUGCGUAUAAGAUGGUAAAAACUGCUCACUACUGCAGAUCAGUCUUUGCUAAGGAACACCGCUAAUUGAUAAUUACAUUUCAUUUUCAGGAUGUUAUCUUACUUGCGGAGAUUGGAAAUUGAAAUGUCCAGGGGUUACACAUAUGGUAUAUAUGGUUCUUUCCAGUCAGAGAUUAAUUGUCAAGUAUUAAUAUUUAAUUUUUUUUUAUUGCAAAAGCUUGUCAAAGGUUUCCAGGAGAAGGUGAGAGCUCAGAGUCAUCUUACCUGAUGCUCAGCAUAUCCAAGAACAGCACUGCCGCUGUGCAAUUUCUGAGUCCAAGAAAGAGAAUGAGAUGCAAAGAAAGGUUGGACCAUGACAGUCUAGUGAGUUAUUAGAUGGGAGAAGUUUCUAAGAAACAGGAGACAGAUUGGCCCUGUUGCAGGUCACGGGCUGCCUGCUGAGUCAGUGCUGGCUUCUGCCUGGACAGGAGACAGACGUGAGGCCAAUCCUUGACCUCUUCCUACACAGGCGGUUAGGGGUAACCUGGAGGACCAGGUUGGCAUCAACAGACCUGGGUUUCCUGGCAGCUUUACCACUCAGCAGCAAAUCAACCUCAAGGAACUUUUGUUGCCUCUUCUGUAAAAUGGGCAGGGUGCCAUCUGUCUGGAGGACCGCUGUGUCCCUCACUAAUGACAUUGGUCAAUGGUGUGCUACUUCACAGUUUACGAAGAGCAGUGAAGAACAAGAGACCUCUAUCAUCUCUAAAGCAUUGCGGCUUCUCGUGAUCUCAAGCGGAUUGAAGUUUUCGGCUUGUUGGACGGUCUCAAAGGAUUGCGGGAGGAGUGAGAGGAGAUGACGCACGUGGAGGACAGGGCCUGGCACUUAAAUGUUAACUUACCCCUCUCCUAGUUGCAGUUUAGAAUUUUAAAAAAUAAAGUAAAAGGACAUCUGGGAAUAUGAUUAUGAAAGAAUAAUUGUGGGAUCAUGACCAUUCAUCAAGCACAAAGACAGCAUGUUGGAAAUGUGGGGAUGUCCCCAGAGGAGCCCAGAUCCUAAGUGAAGUUGACAGGGGCUGGUGCUCCGUGGAAAUACCUUCCUUCUGACAUUGGGCAAAUGUCUAUAAGAAGCUCCUCUACUGGAGCCCACUUCUCAUUCUCAGGCUUGAGGGACCUCUCCCUCACCGGCCAAAUUAAGUGAUGUUGUGUAAGAGGAACCCACAUUCAGGACCCUGAGACUGGCCAGCACUUUCACCAGCCCCAUCUCUACCCACGGGCACGUUCAUUCACUUGUCCAUUUUAUCCCGGGACAUGCCUGCCUCUUUCACUAAAUUUGAUGAUGUGGAAUCAUCUUCGUCUGUGAACUCUCCUACAACACCUAGCACAGCACCUUUCACACUGAGCUUUUGCUCAAUCAUGUUAAUGUGUGCACACGAAUGCAAACACUCAUGCAAAACCUCCCCAGAAAAGGUGGUUAAGGUGGUUUUGGGGAUUAUUCACACAAAUGAGAGAAUUUCUCCUAUCUCUGUUACCUUCUCUGUUCUGUGCUCCUUCCUUUUCCUCUGCAUGCCCCCUGUGAUGGUUAAUUUAAUGUGUAGCAAUCUUAUUGGUCCACACGGUGCCCAGAUAUUUGGUUAAACAGUAGUCUGGGUAUGUCUGUGAGGGGGUUGCUGGCUGAGAUUAAUAUUUAAAUCAGUAGACGGAGUCAAGCAGAUUUCCCUCCCUAAUGUGUGUGGGCCUCAUCCAAUCAGUUGAAGGCCUGACUAGAACAAAAAGGCUGACCCUCCCACGAGGAACAGGGAACUCCUCCUACCUGACUGCUUGAACAGAACAUCAAUUUUUUCCUGCCUUUGGUGUCGAACUGAAGCUUUGGCUCUUCCUGGGUCUCAUCUUGCUGACUUUUGGACUGGAACUCACACCAUGGCUCUACUGGGUGUCUAGCUGAUACAUGGCAGAUUGUGGAACUUCUCGGCCUCCAUAACUGCAUGAGUCAAUUUCUCCUAAUAAUUCUCAUUCUCUCCCUCCCUUUCUCUCUCUCUCUCUCUAUAUAUAUAUCUUCUAUUGGUUCUGUUUUUCUGGAUAAUCCUAAUAGACCCCUAAACGUUGGUUUUUAUUAGGGUUUUCUCUUGGCAUCUUUUCUCCUUACUCCACAUGCUGUACUUGGGUAAUCUCAUUUACUCCCAUGGCUCCAACCACAACCCUUAUGUGGAAAAGUCCAAACCCUUCUCUUUAGUUCAGAUCCCUUCCAAGCUCCAAGCUCCAAUAUCAUACAUUCAACUAUCAACCUGCUACCCCUCCCUGGACAUCUCCAAGGUGCCCCACAGGCAGCCUGCCCAAAGGAGAUGACAGCACUCUCUGCACAAACCUACCUCCCCUCUACUAGUCCCUAAUUCACGGAACGCCCCACUUUCUACUCUGUUACCCGCACUUGGGGCCAGCCAGCUGACACUCCCUAAACCCAACUAGUGCUCAAGGACUGCAGACUUGACCUCCUGUGUCCCCUCACAUCUAAACCCUCCCCUCCCUGUCCAUCAGCACUGCUUCAGGUCAUUCUUCAUUGCCUCUUGUAAGUGAUUAUUGCACAUGGUUGUAUGAGCCUGUCUUUCCGUGCUAGAUUCUGUCCUCCUUCUGGGCAGGAUUCCCAAUUGAUCCAUUUUUUUUCGAAUCCCUUAGUUCCUAGCAAAGUACUUGGCGAAUAUCAGAUACUUAAUAAAUGGUUGUUUGAACAAGUGAUUGAAUGAAUGAAUGACUUCCCUUAGAAGUCCAUGGGGAGUAGAGAAGGCAGAGCAUCUGAUGAUAACGUGGUAUGACUGAAGAGACAAGAAACAGACAAAGAAGUUAAUUUAUUUGCCAUAAAUAAAUAAAAGGCAAAUUCUCCUUGAAGAAAUCUGAAAUGAGGAAAACAGCGACAAGCAGUUAUUUUAAGAGCAGGCUAGCUAAUACCCUAAAUACCCCCCGUGGGACAGGACAAACUCCACUAUAAAAGGUUUUGUUUGUUUAUUUGUUUUUCUUUUUGUUUGCCAUUUUCAGAAACGGAGCUUGGGACAGCGAGACAAACCCAAUCUUCCUAAAGAGGCCCUAGGGUAUAUUUAAAGCUCUCCCAGCACGCGCUGCUUGGGAUCUCAAGGCUUCGAUUCAAAGGACCAGUACAGGGCAAGACUCCUGAAGCUCGAUUCAUCAAACUCAUUUAAGAUGGAUUUGGUUUGAAUUGUGGUUCCAGGCAGCUGCUAACAGUCCAGAGACCAGACUGCUGAGUUGGCUCCUGGAUGGAAACAACUCAGUCCAGGAUACCUAGAAAAAUGUGGGAUAGAAAGCUGACAAUGAAGCUAAAAAUUGAGACAACACAGACCCUAUUGUGAAUAACUGCAAAGCCCCCUUCCCUUUCACCUUCUCAUUAAGGUAUUGUCCUCAGCUAUUUGGAAAAAUCUAGGUUAAAAAAAAAUAUAGGUUUUUCUAGCCUGAAUUACUGACAGGACUGACAAAAUAAUGGAGAAGAGAGGGGGAGCCGUAGGAGAGAUCUUGCCUUCCAACACUUAGUUUUCUGAAAUGAAUGAACUGCAAGCCUUCUCCCUUACCAUUCUUCAUCAAACAGACACACACACACACACACAAACAUCCUUGAAAGUUUGGAAGCACUGCUGCUUGCAAAUGGGCCCAUUAAAAGCAGAUAAAUCAAUGGAAAACGCAUAAAAAAGUCUCAUUUAUCAUAAGAUGUGUUGGACAGUGUUUUGAGUUUUACAUACAUUUAUUCUAGAAAUCUGUUUAUCUGUGCAACAUUUCUGAACAAAAUACUUUGUGAUGAACUGUUCUCUCUACUUGAAUCUAUAUGGAAAGCAAUUAAAUUCAAACCCCAAAGACAAAACGUGAUGAACGCAGCAGCCACACUAUUGAUUUGGCAUCUCGCCACUGCCCUUCUCCCUCUUGUGUCUCAUCUCCAUAGGCCCUAAAAGGCAGACACCUCCUACUCUUAUGAAUCUUGUUUCUUGUGUCUUCUACCAAGACAAAUUCCCCGA